UGGGGAAUAUUGCACAAUGGAGGGAACUCUGAUGCAGCGACGCCGCGGGAGUGAUGAAGGAAUUCGUUUCGUAAAACUCUGUUCUAUGGGAAGAAAAGGACUGUACCAUAGGAGAAAGCUCCGGCUAAAUACGUGCCAGCAGCCGCGGUAAUACGUAUGGAGCGAGCGUUGUCCGGAAUUAUUGGGCGUAAAGGGUGCGCAGGCGGCUUUACAAGUUGGAUGUGAAAUAUUGUGGCUCAACCACAAACGUGCAUCCAAAACUGCAAAGCUUGAGUUAAGGAGAGGUAAGUGGAAUUCCUGGUGUAGCGGUGGAAUGCGUAGAUAUCAGGAGGAAUACCGGUGGCGAAGGCGACUUACUGGACUUAAACUGACGCUCAGGCACGAAAGCGUGGGGAGCAAACAGG
RNAcentral lists this ribosomal RNA (404 nucleotides) under Fusobacteriota bacterium. RNAcentral describes it as "Fusobacteria bacterium partial 16S ribosomal RNA". It matches the Rfam family "Bacterial small subunit ribosomal RNA", at positions 355 to 776 of the family's 1533-position model. Lineage: Bacteria; Fusobacteriati; Fusobacteriota. The record is from RNAcentral.